GUGGGUAUAGCUCAACAGGUAGAGUGCAUGCUUAGCAUGCUUGAGGUCCUGGGUUCAAUCCCCAGUACUUCCU
This 73-nucleotide transfer RNA is filed under the name Camelus bactrianus (Bactrian camel). It matches the Rfam family "tRNA". Rfam says of the family: Transfer RNA (tRNA) molecules are approximately 80 nucleotides in length. Their secondary structure includes four short double-helical elements and three loops (D, anti-codon, and T loops). Lineage: Eukaryota; Metazoa; Chordata; Mammalia; Artiodactyla; Camelidae. The record is from Rfam by way of RNAcentral. RNAcentral also lists the same sequence under 2 other names.